Molecule: ribosomal RNA, 483 nt
Filed under: uncultured bacterium
Lineage: Bacteria
Description: partial 16S ribosomal RNA
Rfam family: Bacterial small subunit ribosomal RNA
Source: RNAcentral
GACGAACGCUGGCGGCGUGCUUAACACAUGCAAGUCGAACGAUGAAGCUGGAGCUAGCUCCGGUGGGUUAGUGGCGAACGGGUGAGUAACACGUGAGCAAUCUGCCCUUGACUCUGGGAUAACUGCGGGAAACUGUAGCUAAUACCGGAUACGAGGCUCGAAGACAUCUUCGGGUCUGGAAAGAAUUUCAGUCAAGGAUGAGCUCGCGGCCUAUCAGCUUGUUGGUGAGGUAAUGGCUCACCAAGGCGACGACGGGUAGCCGGCCUGAGAGGGUGACCGGCCACACUGGGACUGAGACACGGCCCAGACUCCUACGGGAGGCAGCAGUGGGGAAUAUUGCACAAUGGGCGAAAGCCUGAUGCAGCAACGCCGCGUGAGGGAUGAAGGCCUUCGGGUUGUAAACCUCUUUUAGCAGGGAAGAAGCGAAAGUGACGGUACCUGCAGAAAAAGCACCGGCUAACUACGUGCCAGCCGCCGCCGUAA